CUCUCCAUGGCUAUGUCAACCUCAUUUCAUUUCUAACCUCUCGUUUUCUACCGUAGUCCUAGAGAAAGUAAAACUCCCCCUUCCACCUCUCCUUUCCUUCCUCACCGUGCUGCCGCAAACAUUCCAACACUUCCGCCAACCACAACACAUCUCUUGAAUUCAUCGGUUAAUACUGAAAUUGCUCGAUUCUCCGUUUAUCAACGGGUUCCUGGUUUUGUGGAGAUCGUGAUUGAAACAAAGAGAAGAAAGAAGCACCAACAAUGAAAGACGAAAAUUGCUGUUAUACAAGGUAUCAAAGUCACAUUGACUAAAUUGAGAUUAAGAAGGAUCCAACAUUGUUCAAAGAAUUGAUUCACCGAAUUUAUCACAUUAGUCCAUACUAUAUUCCAUUAGGCUUGGAAAAAACAUCCACCAAAUCCAUUAGGGCUUGGAGUAGAAUUACCAUCCAUAUUGUGCACUACAUUCUUAAUUUUCUCCGACUGGGACAUUCUAGUGAUAUAUUCAUUAUAUGCAGUUAUAAGUUGUGGGGGUAGUUCUCUCCAUUAGAUCAGUAUGACUGCAAUUGUUUUUUGUACUAUUUUUUUGUAGAAGUAAAUAACAUGAUCGUCUAAUUCAAUUCCCCCAUCUACAAAAGUACUUCAAUGUAUCAGUAUAGUUAUUUUUUACUUGUAUAUCUCAAUUUUACUAUGUUGUGAUCAUCUAGCCAAUUUUGAUUACAAAUGGCUAUGUCAAGCCUAAUAGAAGAGUAAGUACCACAUUUCAUCUCAUUGGCAUAAAUGUAAUAGCUACUAUUAGUUUCAAGAUGCAUAAGCUCAUUUUGAUUUGUCCACUUAAGAAACUCAUCAGUGGAAGUUUUGUUUGGAGGGCAUCUAUCAAAUUUCUCAUGGGAACUAAUAACUGCAUUGGAAUCACCUAUCAUGCACCGAGGGCCAAGAUUGGUAAGUUCGUUCCAUAACAACCUUCAGAUGACAUGAGAGUUACUUGCAUAUUCAGUUUCAACAAAGAAUUUAGUUUGAUUAACUUCUAUAGAAAAAGUUACAUGUUGUUCGGAUAAACUUAACACAAUGAGAUUCAUAUCUAUUGUACAAAAACCCCAUAAGUUUGAAUAAUUAGUCUAUCUAAAAUUUAAUGCGAAUCUCUUAAAAGUUGAUUUGUUUAAGACAUUCAGCAGGGAAAUGAGCAUACAUAAUCAUUCGUUUAUCAAUCAAAAGCAAAUUAGUCUUAUGUUGAUCACAUAGAUUUUUAAUAGCCAACCUCGUAUUAAGGUUUUCUAAUCCUCUAGCAUUUUAAUAAAUAAUGGCUUUGAUUGAGUGAUAUUGUGUUUACUUGAUAUGGUUCAGACGUUAAUUUCCAUUCUAGAUUGAGCGAGUUUAUGUUUUCCCCUACCCUUUUUCGUGACCAAAGUAAAAUUUUCCCGGUGUGACUUAUGAGGAUUCUCUUCAUCACCGAAAAAGUUAUUAUUCUUAUCCAUAGGCAAACAAUCACAAGGACCUCUCACCAAAUUUUUAGCACUAUUUUCCAUAACCAUAAGAUCAAGAUCAGGUUUAUCCCUUAUAUCAUAUACCAUCGCUUUCUCAAUCACCAAAUUCUCAUUCAAAUCAUUUGCAGUUUUUACUAUUGUAUGUUCUUCAUUCAAAGAGCUUGUUUAUCAUAAAUGUUUUUCGUUAGCAUUAACCUCAUUCCCUGACUGAAUGGCUAUAGCAAAUUCAUAAUUCUCUAUUUCAUUCUUAAAAGUAUGAUUUAUCGUCUUAUUCAAAUCUACAAAGUCAUCAUUUACCAUGGCAUUUACAAAUUCAUCAUUCUAUAUAUCCUUCACACAAUCAUUAAUUGGUAUAGUCUGUUUGGACUUUUUAGACGUGUAUCUUGUAGAUUAUUUAAUUAGCGGAUUCUCAACAUUCAUACCUUUCAACUUCCAACGUUUAUCAAUACUAUGACCAAGACAAACAUAGUUAUCACAAAGAGAGGUAAACUCUCGUAUUCAAAAUCAACAAAGAAUUCAACCCUCUCGUUCCACUAAAAUACGAUCAUGAAGAGUAUCUAACAUGUUAAGGUCUCUCUCCACACACGCAAAAUACCCAAAGUACUUUAAUGGCAAAUAAUGCAUCCUCAAUCACACUUGAUCAUGUGUGAUAUUCAAAAUUUCAAGUCUAAAGUAUGUUGUUCACGUAAACAAACAUAGUAGAGAUGGCUUAAAAUUCCGUGUACCUAAACUCCAUUUUUUGAGAUCAUCCCUUGAUUCGAAUGAAAAUUCAAGAUAUCCACAUUUUCAAAGGAGAUAAAUCCCAAUUAGUAAUUGAACUCCAUAAUUUUAUGAGUUUGUCACGUAACAUUGUUGUCGUCAAUUACAUGUAACCUUAGAUAGUAAUCAAUCUCCCUUGUAAAUUAUUUCUACAAUAUUUGAGUCUUGCUUUGUAAGCCUUUUUAGGUAUUUUGAUCGAGAGGCAAUUAUUUAUUGAGAUACGGUUACCUUUGAGGCAAGGCUUCACAAAAUUAGAAACUAGUAUGUCACACACAUUUUAAAGAGUUUAUGCGAAUAAUUGUUUUUGUGUUUGGCAUUGGAAUGGAGACAUAAGAGUCAUUUGAGGAAUAAGAGCAUACCAUUGAAGGUCGCCAUUCUGAUGGCCUUCCACAUAUAAGCAUAUUUCGAUCAGGUUUUCUUUCAAACCCUAGUAGAGCAUCCCAAAAAACUAGUUUCGUGCAAACAAGAUAUUAAAAUUGCAGUCAUUGUCGGUAUCAUUUUAGUUUUAAUGAUUUGUCAAUUUGUGUGUAUAUGAAUUAUUAGAUUCAUCGCGUAUUUGUAAUAUGUCAAUUAUGUGUAUGUGCAUCAUUGUUUUCAAUGCAUGCUUGUAAUUCAUUUGGAUUCAUUUGUAUUUGUUUGCUUCAGAAAUAAUUAGAAUUAUACCUUUGAGAACUUCUCCAUUCAAUGUUUUAUUAGUUGAUUCCAUGAAAAUGUUUCUUUUUUGAGCUUAGUAAUUUGAUUUAUAUCAAUGUGUUAAGUAUUGCUUGAAUCACAUGCUUGAAUAAAAGCUCCAGAGAGGCUUUAUUUGAAUCAUGCAUAGUGUAACUCAAAUCAUGGACUCAUUUAAAAGUUGGGAAUUACAUGUGGCUCUCUUAAUUUGACUUAUAAGAGUGUGAUUUCAAUCACAUAUAACUUUGACUUGAAUCAUAGGGCAUACUUGAUUCAAAUCAUGGCUUAAUUCCCUCCCUUUCCAACCUUCGAUUCAAGUUAUUGUUUCUUUAAUUCAAAUAAUUACUUCAUGAUUUGAUGAAAUCUCAUUGUUUUCUUGUUUUCCAGUGUGUUUACCCUCUAGCACCAAUUCUCCCAUCUCCUCUUUUUUGUCUAUGAUAUAGAGAGAGUGUGUGCCCAAAAACUAAGAAAAGAGUGUGAUACUCACAAUGAGUGUGUGGUAACACAAUCUCUUGUAACACCAUUGUGUGUUUUUGUAGUAGAACAAACAAUCAAGAUUAGAGAGUUGGUCAAUUUCAAAACAUUCACCAAGACCCUAGAAACUCAUUUUGCUAAGAACCUUGAGAGAAGCAAAAUGUGUGUUCUUUAUUCACCAAGACCUAUCUCCUUGUUGAUACCUUAUGAUUAACCUCACAAAAUGUGGAUCUUGUGAGAAUUAAUUGUGUGUGUGAGAUUCUUCAGAUACUAUUCAUCAUCUUCAACUAUUGUUCAGAACCAUUGUUAUGAGUAUCCAUCUCUAAAGAUUGAGUGUGAGAGAUUUAUUGAAGUUACAUA
Long non-coding RNA from Lathyrus oleraceus (garden pea), 3742 nucleotides. RefSeq lists it as uncharacterized. The transcript has 3 exons. The record is from RefSeq and is a predicted model, not a curated record. NCBI's taxonomy places the organism in Eukaryota, Viridiplantae, Streptophyta, Magnoliopsida, Fabales, Fabaceae.